RNAcentral lists this long non-coding RNA (269 nucleotides) under Carica papaya (papaya). RNAcentral describes it as "long non-coding RNA (CPAP_LNC003496)". The record is from RNAcentral. Lineage: Eukaryota; Viridiplantae; Streptophyta; Magnoliopsida; Brassicales; Caricaceae.
GGUGAGGGGUCUUCAGGUGCGGUUGCUCCGCUAGUUCUCCUUCGCAACUGGAGUUCUUCUCUGGCUAACCUGCACUAGAAAAAGACAGUGAACACAAUGGUAAAAAAAUCACGUAAAAUGGGAAACGGGAAGGGGGUCAUCGGAGAGGGUUUCAGGUUUUGACCGUCGCAGCUCGAUCGAGCUUUACCUGUAGUUUCUGGCUCACCCGUUGAUCCAUUGGCUUCGAUAUGGCCACAGGGAGGCUCAGGAUUAAAUUCUGAGUGGGAAAG